RNAcentral lists this ribosomal RNA (253 nucleotides) under uncultured bacterium. RNAcentral's name for it is "partial 16S ribosomal RNA". It matches the Rfam family "Bacterial small subunit ribosomal RNA", at positions 524 to 776 of the family's 1533-position model. The record is from RNAcentral.
UACAGAGGGGGCAAGCGUUAUUCGGAAUUAUUGGGCGUAAAGGGCGCGUAGGCGGCCUGGCAAGUGGAAGGUGAAAUCCCUCGGCUUAACCGAGGAACUGCCCUCCAAACUGCUUGGCUUGAGUCCGGGAGAGGUGAGUGGAAUUCCCAGUGUAGCGGUGAAAUGCGUAGAGAUCGGAAAGAACACCAACGGCGAAAGCACUCUGCUGGGCCGACACUGACACUGAGAGACGAAAGCUAGGGGAGCGAAUGGG